This 358-nucleotide unclassified non-coding RNA is filed under the name soil metagenome. Its description in RNAcentral is "partial contains 5.8S ribosomal RNA, internal transcribed spacer 2, and large subunit ribosomal RNA". The stretch from base 1 to 120 matches the Rfam family "5.8S ribosomal RNA", at positions 35 to 154 of the family's 154-position model. The record is from RNAcentral.
GAUGAAGAACGCAGCGAAAUGCGAUAAGUAAUGUGAAUUGCAGAAUUCAGUGAAUCAUCGAAUCUUUGAACGCACAUUGCGCCCGUCAGUAUUCUGGCGGGCAUGCCUGUUCGAGCGUCAUUACGCCCCUCAAGUCCCCUGUGGACUUGGUGUUGGGGAUCGGCGAGGCUGGUUUUCCAGCACAGCCGUCCCUUAAAUUAAUUGGCGGUCUCGCCGUGGCCCUCCUCUGCGCUGUAGUAAAACACUCGCAACAGGAGCCCGGCGCGGUCCACUGCCGUAAAACCCCCCAACUUUUUAUAGUUGACCUCGAAUCAGGUAGGACUACCCGCUGAACUUAAGCAUAUCAAUAAGCGGAGGA